CAUUUUAACAAAUAGCACUGGGGGAGCCCUGAGGACUCAAAGAUGAGCGAGAUGGGACUCUUGUCCAGGAGCUAACAAUCCGAGAAGUUUGUGAAAGAUGGCCAAGCGCAUAACAAUGUAAGAAGCAUAAAGUUAUCAGCAUGAAGAGAGGGGUCUGGAAGCCGACGACAGCAGAGGCCCAGUUCUUCUGAGGAAUAAAUGAUAGCACAGUAGAUCCAAGUUCGUGGUUGUCUCCAGUACUCAGCUUCCCUACAGCGCUGCUCUCCUGGUGACGCCCUCCCUGUUCACUGCACAUCGGUCUCAGUCCACCUCGCCACACCACCGGUCCUCACUACACAUACCAAGAUCUCCUUUUCCGCCUAGACCUCCUCAUUUUAAAACCCACGAUUCCACACGUGUGAGUGUGUGCACAGAGACGUACUGUCUCCUUCCACUUGAACAUGCGGUCCACAAGGACAGGAAGUUUGAUUCCUGCUACACCCCAAAUGCCCAGGAUGGACAGUGCCCCCACACUGUA
This 517-nucleotide long non-coding RNA is filed under the name Fukomys damarensis (Damara mole-rat). Its description in RNAcentral is "lncRNA (ENSFDAG00000027226.1)". Lineage: Eukaryota; Metazoa; Chordata; Mammalia; Rodentia; Bathyergidae. The record is from RNAcentral.